UACGUAGGGUGCGAGCGUUAAUCGGAAUUACUGGGCGUAAAGCGUGCGCAGGCGGUUCGUUGUGUCGGCGGUGAAAGCCCCGGGCUUAACCCUGGGAAUGGCCGUUGAAACUGGCGAACUGGAGUGUGGCAGAGGGGGUGGAAUUCCGCGUGUAGCAGUGAAAUGCGUAGAGAUGCGGAGGAACACCGAUGGCGAAGGCAGCCCCCUGGGCUAACACUGACGCUCAGGCACGAAAGCGUGGGGAGCAAACAGG
RNAcentral lists this ribosomal RNA (253 nucleotides) under uncultured bacterium. Its description in RNAcentral is "partial 16S ribosomal RNA". It matches the Rfam family "Bacterial small subunit ribosomal RNA", at positions 524 to 776 of the family's 1533-position model. The record is from RNAcentral.